RNAcentral lists this long non-coding RNA (234 nucleotides) under Nicotiana benthamiana. RNAcentral's name for it is "long non-coding RNA (NBEN_LNC011763)". Lineage: Eukaryota; Viridiplantae; Streptophyta; Magnoliopsida; Solanales; Solanaceae. The record is from RNAcentral.
UAUAAUGUUCGAUUCGUGCUGUGUUUUUCCCCGUUAUCCAGAUAUCAUACCCUAAACCUCCUCAACCACAAAAAUAAAAACGAAAAAAAAGAAAAGAAAAAUAGAGGUUAGAUGAGAUAAUUGUAGAAGUCUAAAGAAGUAGGUGAACAAAAAACAGUUUUCCUGUUAAUUAGUCAAUAAGCAACAAUAAGAAACCUCAACUAAUUUUUUGCCCUUUAAUUUGACUAUAAAUUU